Molecule: ribosomal RNA, 437 nt
Filed under: uncultured bacterium
Lineage: Bacteria
Description: partial 16S ribosomal RNA
Rfam family: Bacterial small subunit ribosomal RNA
Source: RNAcentral
GACGAACGCUGGCGGCAUGCUUUACACAUGCAAGUCGGACGGGAAGGGCUGUUUCCAGUGGCGUGCGGGUGAGGCACGCGUAAGAACCUGCCGUGGGUAGGGUGACAACGGCUGUAAACGGCCGCUAAUACACCGGAGGUAGUGGCGCGAAAGGUGGAAUCCGCCCGAGGGGGGGCUGGCUUGUGACGUGCUAGUUGGGGAGGUAAGAGCUUACCAAGGCCGUGAUCAGUAGCCGGUCCGGGCGGAUCAUCCGCAAGACGGGGACUGAGACAAGGACCCGACUCCGGCGGGAGGCAGCGGUGGGUAUUUUUCAGUAAUGGGAGGCAGCAUGCCGGAGCGCCGCCGGGUGGAUGUAAACGGCCGACGGGUCAUGAGCUUCUUCUCCUGGCGAAGAAACAAUGACGGUAACUGGUGAAUAAGCAUCGGCUAACUCUGUG